Long non-coding RNA from Bufo bufo (common toad), 388 nucleotides. RefSeq lists it as uncharacterized. The transcript has 3 exons. NCBI's taxonomy places the organism in Eukaryota, Metazoa, Chordata, Amphibia, Anura, Bufonidae. The record is from RefSeq and is a predicted model, not a curated record.
CCUCAGCUCUAUACACAAAAUCCAAGUGACAGGUUCCCUUUAAUACCGACGUCUAAAACGACAAUAAACGUGCCCCAAAAUUCUUUUCUCUGGAAAACCACAAGGGAUUUUCACAAGACGGCAGAUACUGACUCCUCUCCAAGCCUUGCCUUUUACAAUUACAUAUAUUAUCUGGUUGCUAUGGGCAACGUUCUCAACAAUUGAAGAAAGCUUCACAUCCUAUAUAAAUGAACAAUAAAAAAAAAAAAAUAUUCAUGAUAUAAACCGAUGGGUUGCAAGCCAUGACUUUCCAGCUGUUGGGAAUCUACAAUCCCCAUCAUUCCCAGACAGCCUGCAUGAGAGUUGUAGUUUGCAGACGUUUGGAAUAAACUGGACUCUACAGUAAAUA